CUUGCAUUGGUUUCUUCGAUAAAACAACCCUAGGGCCCUCGAUGGGCCAAAAAAUCACGAAAAAUCGAGACUUACCGGCGGCGGAGCUCUCAAGUGCGGCGGCUUCUCUGGUGCGAGUCGUGAUUCGAUGUUUUACUCCGGUCAACCUGUAGAGAAAAGGACGGUGAUCACAGUGGUGUAAAAAUUGUAUCGAACGGGAACCAG
RNAcentral lists this long non-coding RNA (204 nucleotides) under Carica papaya (papaya). RNAcentral's name for it is "long non-coding RNA (CPAP_LNC005783)". The record is from RNAcentral. Lineage: Eukaryota; Viridiplantae; Streptophyta; Magnoliopsida; Brassicales; Caricaceae.